UACGUAGGGGGCAAGCGUUGUCCGGAAUCAUUGGGCGUAAAGCGCGUGUAGGCGGCCCGGUAAGUCCGCUGUGAAAGUCGGGGGCUCAACCCUCGAAUGCCGGUGGAUACUGUCGGGCUAGAGUGCGGGAGAGGCGAGUGGAAUUCCUGGUGUAGCGGUGAAAUGCGCAGAUAUCAGGAGGAACACCCGUGGCGAAGGCGGCUCUCUGGAACGCAACUGACGCUGAGACGCGAAAGCGUGGGGAGCAAACAGG
Molecule: ribosomal RNA, 253 nt
Filed under: uncultured bacterium
Lineage: Bacteria
Description: partial 16S ribosomal RNA
Rfam family: Bacterial small subunit ribosomal RNA
Source: RNAcentral